CAAAAGCCAAAACUCUUCUAUACCUUGACCCAAAAUAUCCAAGGAGAGUCAUGGCCAAUGGCAAUAUUGUAUCAUUUUGCAUCCUCUCCUUCUUGUUUCUUUGUAUUGGAGAGAUGACAAGUGUAGCGGCAACAACAUGGUGUGUGGCUAGUCUCACAGGGACAGAUGCUUUGUAUCAACAAGCCAUAAAGAUUUCUUGAGAAGCCCCUAGGGUGAAUUAUGCACCAAUAUCACCUAGUGGCAUAUGUUUUGAACCCAACAAAUUGGCUAAUCAUGCAACCGUGGCCCUCAAUCUCAACUAUUUAGCCAAUAAUGUUUGCCCUCGUCCAUUUGGCAUAACUAUAGUAACAAAUCCUUCAUUUGGAAGAUGCAUUUUACAAGGAAAACCAUCUCCAAGACAGCAAUAUGGAAGAACGUCAUCACUUUCAAUUUCAAUAAAAUAGGGAUGCCUAUUUUCUAUUAGUUGAAAAUAAUAUAUUAUGAUCGAAAUGAUGUAUCGCAGGGUCUUUGUGGAACCUUUUUUCUAUAUUUUUAUGUGUUGACCCACAAGUGCGAGUUCUUAAUCACAAGACUUAUGAAAAUGGAAAAAACUUUACCUUGUUUACUAUUCUAUAGCAU
This is a long non-coding RNA of Malania oleifera, 618 nucleotides long. RefSeq lists it as uncharacterized. Lineage: Eukaryota; Viridiplantae; Streptophyta; Magnoliopsida; Santalales; Ximeniaceae. The transcript is spliced from 3 exons. The record is from RefSeq and is a predicted model, not a curated record.